Molecule: long non-coding RNA, 367 nt
Filed under: Elaeis guineensis (African oil palm)
Lineage: Eukaryota; Viridiplantae; Streptophyta; Magnoliopsida; Arecales; Arecaceae
Description: long non-coding RNA (EGUI_LNC006015)
Source: RNAcentral
AGAUUAACUGAGUUGUCAUGGCUGUGUUUGUUGAUGGCUCAGGUUAGCCAACUGUCAGUCGGCCAACCGAUUGACAGUCGGCAGGUUGUGCUUAUAAGAUCGAUCGAAGGUCAGAAUCGGAGAAUCAACUAAAUCAUCCCAACAUAAUUUAUUACCAUUAAGUUUCUAAUUAUCAAAUGGUCAUGUCUAUUUAAUCUUGUUUUUAUUUUCUGAUCGUUAGGCAUUGUAUUAAAGGUUUUGAUCGUUGGACUCCAUAAUAAAAAUCUUAAUGGGUUAAUAAAAAUCUCAAUAGCUAUAAACGAUCGUAAACGGUCAUUUUGGUUGGAUACAAAAAGGGCCCUUACGACCUAAUCCAAUAGACCAUCCA